UAACUCUAUUUAAGUUUAAACAUAAAAUCACUAUAUUAUUUAUUAAUAGUAUUAUUGUUUAGUUUAAUAAAAGUUUUAUUACUACUGUAUUAUAUACAAAUAUAUAUAAAAUACUUUCUUUCAUAUGUUAUAUAUAGUUUUGGAUUGACCGGCUGAGGACACAACUCUAAUUUGAAGAUACAAAGGAUGGUGUGCUACUCAGGCGGCUUGGGAACAAAAAAUUUUCAAGUCUGUAAGAUUAACUACGAUUAAUAACCUUUCUCGAAGCAGCUCGAAAAAAAAGAAUUAAGGUCAGUUACUUAACUAAAAAAUAAGCUAGAAAUGAAGUAUCUAAAACUAACCCGAGAAAAAGAAGAAGUAAAUACGAGAGCUUAAUUAUCUUCAGCAAACUUUAAAGAGAGAUAUAGUUGAGCAGUUUACAAGGUGAGGAUCUAGAAAAAAGCAAGUUCAGAAAAUAAGCAGAGCGUAUCCUUAGAUUAAACUAGAUUCCCCAUAAGAAGUCAGAAAUGAAACUUGCCCCUUUUUGAGUAAAAUUAAGGGUGGUAGUAUUCGUCUUGCAUGGAAUAGUUAUGUUUUUUAAAGACAAGUUAAAGCGUAGGGUAUUUCAAGGGAAGUAUGACAAGCUUUUACAGGUAGGUUACCAGAAUUAACGAAGGAGUACGAGCGGAAUCAUGGAGAACUCAAAACCCGAAAUGAAAAACGCUUGCGAAGAGGAUAAACAAUUUAAACCAAAAGCAUAAAUGCAAUUGUGCGAUGAUUUUCCAGGCCCAAAUCGACAAGGUAUUGUUAAGCAUUAUACAUUUUCGACUGAAAAACUUAAUAUAAAAGCGAGGAACAGCAACAGCUUUAUAUUUAGAUAAUGCUUAAGAUCUUUAUCAGCGGGGUUAGAGAAAAAGAGUAAAUCAUAUUAUGCUUUCCAAUGCCGGACGGUGUAGGGUGCAAUGGACUGUAUUAUAUUACCUUCUGAUUAUGAAAUGCUCUAUUUGAAUACCAGAGGGCAUGGAAUUCGUAACAGCUGCCCUCAGAGACACAUGUUUAAAUGGAUGACUGCCUAAUCUGAUGAUGGGUCAUUUAAGGCUUUGCGCUUUUAUUUCCAGGUAUGGGAACUUUAACGUAAAACUAAGACUUAUGGAAUGUAUUUUUUUUAAAGAUCUCUGUAAAAUAGUAUAAAUAUAGGAUAAGUAAGAAAGGCUCUUGGAUGUGUGCGGAAAGGCUACAAGCCUUUAGUUACACUACCCUAAAAAACAAAAAAAAAUAUGCGGUUUGUUGCAGAUGUUGAACUAUAGGAGUAUUACAAACCGAACCACGCUGUAUUACUGGAGCCUUUAAACAGGUUACUUAGAGAAUAUAAAAGUGAUCUGGGGAGAUGUACAGAGGUCUGCUUGUGGGAAGGGUUUAAACAUUUUAGAAGCGAAAGUAUAUGUGGAACAAGUGAAAUCCAAUGAAGAUUAGACUAGUGCCUUUAACAGUAAAAUGUGUGAUCUUUACUUCAACGAUAUGGCGGCCAAUCAAAAGAAGCGGAGUAGAUGAGGUUGUAACGUAUGUUAUUUUAGUGCACUGACACUUUCUGCUCUAGUGACUGAAGCAUAAUAAAGAU
Long non-coding RNA from Zophobas morio, 1597 nucleotides. RefSeq lists it as uncharacterized. The record is from RefSeq and is a predicted model, not a curated record. The transcript has 4 exons. NCBI's taxonomy places the organism in Eukaryota, Metazoa, Arthropoda, Insecta, Coleoptera, Tenebrionidae.